GACGAACGCUGGCGGCGUGCUUAACACAUGCAAGUCGAACGAUGAAGCCGGAGCUUGCUCUGGUGAAUUAGUGGCGAACGGGUGAGUAACACGUGAGUAACCUGCCCUUGACUCUGGGAUAACUGCGGGAAACUGUAGCUAAUACCGGAUACGACCAUCGGAGGCAUCUCCUGGGGGUGGAAAGAAUUUCGGUCAAGGAUGGACUCGCGGCCUAUCAGCUAGUUGGUGAGGUAAAGGCUCACCAAGGCGACGACGGGUAGCCGGCCUGAGAGGGUAACCGGCCACACUGGGACUGAGACACGGCCCAGACUCCGACGGGAGGCAGCAGUGGGGAAUAUUGCACAAUGGGCGCAAGCCUGAUGCAGCAACGCCGCGUGAGGGAUGACGGCCUUCGGGUUGUAAACCCCUUUUAGCAGGGAAGAAGCGAAAGUGACGGUACCUGCAGAAAAAGCACCGGCUAACUACGUGCCAGCAGCCGCCGUAA
Molecule: ribosomal RNA, 484 nt
Filed under: uncultured bacterium
Lineage: Bacteria
Description: partial 16S ribosomal RNA
Rfam family: Bacterial small subunit ribosomal RNA
Source: RNAcentral